CACACUUUCUUACAACAACAGCCACUGUGUUGGCUGGAGAGGGAUGGGGUGGGCCCAACGGAGACACAAGGAGGUAGAGGAGCUAACCCCUCUACUCCACUUUCAAAACUACAUUUUAAAGGGAAUGUGUAUGUGAAGAGCACUACCAACAUCGCUUUUGUUUUAAGUUUUCCUUUUUGCUUGUUUUUAAAGCCAAAACAAAAAACAACCAAGCACUCUUCCAUAUAUAAAUCUGGCUGUAUUCAGUAGCAAUACAAAAGAUAUGUAGAAAGACUCUUUGGUUCACAUUCCAAUAUUAAAAUAGUGACACGAACUGGCAAAGUGGUUUUAAAAGCUUUCACAUGGGAUAAAUGAUUUUCUUUCUUUCUUUUCUUUCUUCGUAUGGUCUUGUCAGAAUAAACUACUAUCUUGAAUAAAACAACAUCCAACCCAGGUCAUUGAAAUGAAAUUGGCCAGUCAAAAAAAAAAAAAAAGACUUCAAUCAUUUAAAAAAUUCCUAAUUUUCAGAAAUAUGAAUAAAUGGUUUUUGUUAAACCCUUUGUAAAAUACUGAGGUUCCCAUUAACAAAUUAUGGCUUCUGCUUGCUGGAAAUGAAGUAUAGUUUAAGACCAAACAUUUUACUAAUAAGCAAAUUUUAAGUACAUAUAUAACUUGAACUUCAUAAAUGUGAAGAUUACCACUUCUUUUUAUGGCCAGUCCUUACC
RNAcentral lists this long non-coding RNA (704 nucleotides) under Homo sapiens (human). RNAcentral describes it as "non-protein coding lnc-RGS9-15:9". The record is from RNAcentral. Lineage: Eukaryota; Metazoa; Chordata; Mammalia; Primates; Hominidae.